RNAcentral lists this ribosomal RNA (253 nucleotides) under uncultured bacterium. RNAcentral's name for it is "partial 16S ribosomal RNA". It matches the Rfam family "Bacterial small subunit ribosomal RNA", at positions 524 to 776 of the family's 1533-position model. The record is from RNAcentral.
UACGGAGGGUGCAAGCGUUAUCCGGAUUUAUUGGGCUUAAAGGGUCCGUAGGCGGAUCUGUAAGUCAGUGGUGAAAUCUCACAGCUUAACUGUGAAACUGCCAUUGAUACUGCAGGUCUUGAGUGUUGUUGAAGUAGCUGGAAUAAGUAGUGUAGCGGUGAAAUGCAUAGAUAUUACUUAGAACACCAAUUGCGAAGGCAGGUUACUAAGCAACAACUGACGCUGAUGGACGAAAGCGUGGGGAGCGAACAGG